CCUACGGGUGGCAGCAGUGGGGAAUAUUGGACAAUGGGCGAAAGCCUGAUCCAGCCAUGCCGCGUGUGUGAAGAAGGCCUUCGGGUUGUAAAGCACUUUCAGUGGGGAAGAAAGCCUUGGGGCUAAUACCCUCGAGGAAGGACAUCACCCACAGAAGAAGCACCGGCUAACUCCGUGCCAGCAGCCGCGGUAAUACGGAGGGUGCGAGCGUUAAUCGGAAUUACUGGGCGUAAAGCGCGCGUAGGUGGUCUGAUAAGCCGGUUGUGAAAGCCCCGGGCUCAACCUGGGAACGGCAUCCGGAACUGUCAGGCUAGAGUGCAGGAGAGGAAGGUAGAAUUCCCGGUGUAGCGGUGAAAUGCGUAGAGAUCGGGAGGAAUACCAGUGGCGAAGGCGGCCUUCUGGACUGACACUGACGCUGAGGUGCGAAAGCGUGGGUAGCAAACAGGAUUAGAUACCCUGGUAGUC
Molecule: ribosomal RNA, 465 nt
Filed under: Vreelandella stevensii
Lineage: Bacteria; Pseudomonadati; Pseudomonadota; Gammaproteobacteria; Oceanospirillales; Halomonadaceae
Description: partial 16S ribosomal RNA
Rfam family: Bacterial small subunit ribosomal RNA
Source: RNAcentral